This 301-nucleotide ribosomal RNA is filed under the name uncultured bacterium. RNAcentral's name for it is "partial 16S ribosomal RNA". It matches the Rfam family "Bacterial small subunit ribosomal RNA", at positions 509 to 807 of the family's 1533-position model. The record is from RNAcentral.
CAGCAGCCGCGGUAAUACGUAGGUGGCAAGCGUUGUCCGGAAUUAUUGGGCGUAAAGGGCUCGCAGGCGGUUUCUUAAGUCUGAUGCGAAAGCCCCCGGCUCAACCGGGGAGGGUCAUUGGAAACUGGGAAACUUGAGCGCAGAAGAGGAGAGUGGAAUUCCACGUGUAGCGGUGAAAUGCGUAGAGAUGCGGAGGAACUCCAGUGGCGAAGGCGACUCUCUGGUCUGUAACUGACGCUGAGGAGCGAAAGCGUGGGGAGCGAACAGGAUUAGAUACCCCAGUAGUCCCUGUCUCUUAUAC